UACAGAGGGGGCAAGCGUUGUUCGGAAUUACUGGGCGUAAAGGGCGCGUAGGCGGCCUGCUAAGUCGAACGUGAAAUCCCUGGGCUCAACCCAGGAACUGCGUCCGAUACUGGUUGGCUUGAAUUCGGGAGAGGGAUGCGGAAUUCCAGGUGUAGCGGUGAAAUGCGUAGAUAUCUGGAGGAACACCGGUGGCGAAGGCGGCAUCCUGGACCAAUAUUGACGCUGAGGAGCGAAAGCCAGGGGAGCAAACGGG
RNAcentral lists this ribosomal RNA (253 nucleotides) under uncultured bacterium. RNAcentral's name for it is "partial 16S ribosomal RNA". It matches the Rfam family "Bacterial small subunit ribosomal RNA", at positions 524 to 776 of the family's 1533-position model. The record is from RNAcentral.